GAUGAAGAACGCAGCGAAAGUGCGAAACGUAAUGUGAAUUGCAGAAUUCAGUGAAUCAUCGAAUCUUUGAACGCAUCUUGCGCUCCUUGGUAUUCCGAGGAGCAUGCCUGUUUGAGUGUCGUGAAGUCUCUCGAGUCCGAGUCUCUUUUUGACUCGGGGUUUCGGAUUUGGACGUUUGCCGUCGUGAGACGGCUCGUCUCGAAAUGUAUCGGCCGUUCCCAUUUCCACAGACAACGGUGUGAUAAAUGAAACUCGCUCGCGUCUUGUGGUAACGGGGGACGGCUCACAGUCGUCCUUUUUGGACAAUACACACGUCAUCUGACCUCAAAUCAGGUAGGACUACCCGCUGAACUUAAGCAUAUCAAUAAGCGGAGGA
Molecule: unclassified non-coding RNA, 376 nt
Filed under: soil metagenome
Description: partial contains 5.8S ribosomal RNA, internal transcribed spacer 2, and large subunit ribosomal RNA
Rfam family: 5.8S ribosomal RNA (bases 1-121)
Source: RNAcentral